Drosophila obscura is the source of this 495-nucleotide long non-coding RNA. RefSeq lists it as uncharacterized. The transcript is spliced from 3 exons. The record is from RefSeq and is a predicted model, not a curated record. NCBI's taxonomy places the organism in Eukaryota, Metazoa, Arthropoda, Insecta, Diptera, Drosophilidae.
CACAAAAGCAUUCGCAUCAUAAGGGGUAUUAAAGUACAGUUUGUAUAGAGUCGCUGCAAGGGGGUUUAUGCGCUUAAGUCCAUCAAGAUUUUUGCAAGAAGAACACAGGCUUCUCCUUUAAAAGAGAGCUCAUACAGAUUUAUGUCAUGUUGUUUGAUUUUACUGUCAUUUGGAGACACGCUACCGGCAGCAAAUGUAUUACUAUCUUUGUUUGUAUUGGUGCUAUUUUCCAUUUCGCUUCGCUCUCAGAUGCACGCUUUACUCCUGACGCCACUAUGGUGGCGUCAGCCAUCUUCGCUGGUGGUUUCACCAGCCUGCCAGGGACUUACCAGCUUCUAUAAAUGAAAAGCACUAUUAGGACCGACAAAGUAUAAUAAUUAGUUGAAGCUCUUUGAUUCAAGAGGUUUUUAGAUCUUAAAAUCAGCAGAAAACAGUCGACGAUUGCACAUUAAACAAGAUUGAACAAAGGGAGUUAAGAAAAAACACCGGAAAAAA